GGGGGUGAAAGGCCAAUCAAACCGGGAGAUAGCUGGUUCUCCCCGAAAGCUAUUUAGGUAGCGCCUCGUGAAUUCAUCUCCGGGGGUAGAGCACUGUUUCGGCUAGGGGGCCAUCCCGGCUUACCAACCCGAUGCAAACUGCGAAUACCGGAGAAUGUUAUCACGGGAGACACACGGCGGGUGCUAACGUCCGUCGUGAAGAGGGAAACAACCCAGACCGCCAGCUAAGGUCCCAAAGUCAUGGUUAAGUGGGAAACGAUGUGGGAAGGCCCAGACAGCCAGGAUGUUGGCUUAGAAGCAGCCAUCAUUUAAAGAAAGCGUAAUAGCUCACUGGUCGAGUCGGCCUGCGCGGAAGAUGUAACGGGGCUAAACCAUGCACCGAAGCUGCGGCAGCGACACUGUGUGUUGUUGGGUAGGGGAGCGUUCUGUAAGCCUGCGAAGGUGUCCCGUGAGGGAUGCUGGAGGUAUCAGAAGUGCGAAUGCUGACAUAAGUAACGAUAAAGCGGGUGAAAAGCCCGCUCGCCGGAAGACCAAGGGUUCCUGUCCAACGUUAAUCGGGGCAGGGUGAGUCGACCCCUAAGGCGAGGCCGAAAGGCGUAGUCGAUGGGAAACGGGUUAAUAUUCCCGUACUUGGUGUUACUGCGAAGGGGGGACGGAGAAGGCUAUGUUGGCCGGGCGACGGUUGUCCCGGUUUAAGCGUGUAGGUGUGUGUUCCAGGUAAAUCCGGUUCACUUUAACACUGAGGCGUGACGACGAGGCACUACGGUGCUGAAGCAACAAAUGCCCUGCUUCCAGGAAAAGCCUCUAAGCAUCAGGUAACAUCAAAUCGUACCCCAAACCGACACAGGUGGUCAGGUAGAGAAUACCAAGGCGCUUGAGAGAACUCGGGUGAAGGAACUAGGCAAAAUGGUGCCGUAACUUCGGGAGAAGGCACGCUGACACGUAGGUGAAGUGAUUUACUCAUGGAGCUGAAGUCAGUCGAAGAUACCAGCUGGCUGCAACUGUUUAUUAAAAACACAGCACUGUGCAAACACGAAAGUGGACGUAUACGGUGUGACGCCUGCCCGGUGCCGGAAGGUUAAUUGAUGGGGUCAGCGCAAGCGAAGCUCCUGAUCGAAGCCCCGGUAAACGGCGGCCGUAACUAUAACGGUCCUAAGGUAGCGAAAUUCCUUGUCGGGUAAGUUCCGACCUGCACGAAUGGCGUAAUGAUGGCCAGGCUGUCUCCACCCGAGACUCAGUGAAAUUGAACUCGCUGUGAAGAUGCAGUGUACCCGCGGCAAGACGGAAAGACCCCGUGAACCUUUACUAUAGCUUGACACUGAACAUUGAGCCUUGAUGUGUAGGAUAGGUGGGAGGCUUUGAAGUGUGGACGCCAGUCUGCAUGGAGCCGACCUUGAAAUACCACCCUUUAAUGUUUGAUGUUCUAACGUGGACCCGUAAUCCGGGUUGCGGACAGUGUCUGGUGGGUAGUUUGACUGGGGCGGUCUCCUCCUAAAGAGUAACGGAGGAGCACGAAGGUUGGCUAAUCCUGGUCGGACAUCAGGAGGUUAGUGCAAUGGCAUAAGCCAGCUUGACUGCGAGCGUGACGGCGCGAGCAGGUGCGAAAGCAGGUCAUAGUGAUCCGGUGGUUCUGAAUGGAAGGGCCAUCGCUCAACGGAUAAAAGGUACUCCGGGGAUAACAGGCUGAUACCGCCCAAGAGUUCAUAUCGACGGCGGUGUUUGGCACCUCGAUGUCGGCUCAUCACAUCCUGGGGCUGAAGUAGGUCCCAAGGGUAUGGCUGUUCGCCAUUUAAAGUGGUACGCGAGCUGGGUUUAGAACGUCGUGAGACAGUUCGGUCCCUAUCUGCCGUGGGCGCUGGAGAACUGAGGGGGGCUGCUCCUAGUACGAGAGGACCGGAGUGGACGCAUCACUGGUGUUCGGGUUGUCAUGCCAAUGGCACUGCCCGGUAGCUAAAUGCGGAAGAGAUAAGUGCUGAAAGCAUCUAAGCACGAAACUUGCCCCGAGAUGAGUUCUCCCUGAGACUUAGAGUCUCCUGAAGGAACGUUGAAGACGACGACGUUGAUAGGCCGGGUGUGUAAGCGCAGCGAUGCGUUGAGCUAACCGGUACUAAUGAACCGUGAG
This 2122-nucleotide ribosomal RNA is filed under the name Salmonella enterica. RNAcentral describes it as "partial 23S ribosomal RNA". It matches the Rfam family "Bacterial large subunit ribosomal RNA", at positions 817 to 2915 of the family's 2925-position model. The record is from RNAcentral. Lineage: Bacteria; Pseudomonadati; Pseudomonadota; Gammaproteobacteria; Enterobacterales; Enterobacteriaceae.